RNAcentral lists this long non-coding RNA (822 nucleotides) under Vulpes vulpes (red fox). Its description in RNAcentral is "lncRNA (ENSVVUG00000016704.1)". The record is from RNAcentral. Lineage: Eukaryota; Metazoa; Chordata; Mammalia; Carnivora; Canidae.
UUUAUAACUGUGGCUCAUGAACAAAAAUGUUAAGAAAUGCUGACACAGCAUAAGCGAGGGGCUACUUUUGUAAUAAUUGGUUUUAAAGCAGGUAUAAAAAUGUGUCAUGAAUUAGAAACUCAACAGCAGAUUUUGGAAUCACUUGCAGGCAUACAGCAACUAUAGAAGCUCCAUCAGUUUACAUGAUUCUCCAACACUCUGGAGGUGGCAGGAUGAAAUCUUUCUUCUCAUUACAAAGAUGAAGGAAAUGGAGACUUAGCAAGGCUGAGAGACUCCCGAGAGGUCCCCCCACUGAGAGGCCCCAGCACCAGGCCUGGGCCCGCAGGCGUCCCCCCAGACCCCAACCCGGAGGGUCCUGCUGCACCUGCCACCCAAGAAUGAGGCUUCACCUACAUCCUGCCAUCUCCAGGAGCUUCUGCAAUGAAAGCAACAGCACCCAGAGCAAGCGAGGACAGUCUGUGCUUCCAGUGCAGAUUUUCCAAAAAAGACCUCAGAGGCAUCCGAGGGAGAACCCUGCCAAUCCAGGAAUCACAGGGACCGGACCCAGAGAGAAGCCGCUGAGCGACCACAGCCCCUAUCCAAGACGACAGCUGCAAAGGAGGGCCCUCAGAAAGUAACCACUUGCCAGCAGGAUCGGCACAUCCUCGCUGCCCAGAAACCCAGCGGUGGAGGCCAGAGACGCCCCAUGAGCUGCCCAGGGAGGCCAGAGGCGCCCCAUGAGCUGCCCAGGGAUGCUGCAACAGCAGUGAAUGGGCCAGAGGUGAGACCGAGAUGUCAAAAUCAAUAUGCGGGGGGCGUGAUUAAAAGACAAGCAUGGUUGGC